This is a non-coding RNA of Eucalyptus grandis, 89 nucleotides long. NCBI's taxonomy places the organism in Eukaryota, Viridiplantae, Streptophyta, Magnoliopsida, Myrtales, Myrtaceae. The record is from Rfam.
CGGCGAUGAUUACAAAUUAUCCGCGCUUCUGAGUGUCUACGAUGAAGCACAGAGGAUAAAAAAAUGGUUGAAUUUCUUGAUAUGAGCCG